AAAAUGGACAUUUUGAGAUUCUACUGGCAGUUUAUACACCUACAAAGAGAUAUCACCUACAAUAUCAGAAACCAGUCUAAUCCCAUUAAAAUUUAUAAAGCUGUUAUUAUACAGAGUUUUUUUUUAAUACAGACUGUUCUACUUAUUAAUAAUCUAAUAGGGUUUGGGAGAUUAAACCCAGUAUUAGAAAACUAGUCAGCCAAUUAAUAGCUGUUUAGGAAUUCAUUAAAGAAGUGCAUUGCUUACUAUUUAAGCAGAAUUUUAAAAUGUAUAAACAGAAUGUUUCUUCUGGUUGGAAUAUGAACACUGGCUUAUAAUUUCUUAUCUUGAGACUUCCCAUCUGGCUGGUCUUGGAAAUAUUUUUCUUUUUUUUCCCCCCUAGCAGUGCAACAACUAGCAAUUAGAGUUUCAGAAAUGCCAAUUUUAAUCACUACUUCCAUUUCCAAAAUAGAAAAACUUGCAUGAACUACACAGUAGAUAAACCCUCUUCAUUUUAUUCAGUUGAGUGUUUUUGAAAAGGUAAUUUCAGUAAAUCAAAGCCAGGGAUAAGAUAUUCCAGAAAUGUUAAGAAAAUAGUGCAGAUCCUUAUAAAUUAUGGUCAGUUUUACUCUUAAGCUGGGCACUAAUUUCACUGGCAUUGAUGUUUAUAUUAUCCAGGUAUCAACUUUAGUGCAGUUAGCUCACAUAGAGAAGGGCUUCUCAACUUCAGUACUAUUGACUUUUGGGUUGGCUAAUUAUUUGUAGUGGGGGGCUGACCUGUGCAUUGUAGGAUGUUUGUCAAUAUCCUUGGCCUUUACCCACUAGAUGACAGUAGCACUAACUCCCAUACCCCACCCUGUUGUGAUAACCGUAAAUACGUCCAUCUGUUCCCAAAUGUCCUCAGGAUAUGGGGCAAAAUCACCCCGGUUGAGAAUCAGUUAUAAAGGAUAAGAUCUUGGCAACUUCUUCCUUUAAAAGCAUUUAAAUAUUAAACAAAUAAAGAGUGUUGAAUUUGGAUGUCUAGAUCCAAAUUCUUAACUUUAGUAAGUUAAGUCUUUUUUUUGUUUGUUUUUUGAGUCAGGGUUUUGCUCUGUUGCCCAGGCUGGAAUGCAGUAGCAAGAUCACCACUCACUGCAAUCUGCCUCCUGGGAUCACCACCCACUGCCUCCUGGGAUCAAGGGAUCCUCCCACCACAGUCUCUAGAGUAGCUGGGACCACAGGCAUGCACCACCACUCCCAGCUAAUUUUUUUUUUUUUUUUUUUUGUAGAGACAGACUUUCACCAUGUUGCCCAAGCUGGUCCCACAUUCCUGGGCUCAAGGGAUCCACCUGCCUUGGCCUCUCGAAGUGCUGGUAUUACAGGCAUGAGCCACUAUGCCCAGGCAAUCCUUCAGGAAGAAGACCCUGGCGAAAAUUACCUUGCAUAUCAAGAGUUGGCGGAUGAACACGAAGCAAUCACCUUGGGAAAAGGAGUGAUGAAAGUAGAAAGCACUAAAGAGAUUCUUUAUAGUUCUUGAUGGGUAGCCUGAGUUGCUCUUGCCAUGUUUUUGUUUGUUUUUUUUCACUCCUCACCGUAUCUUUAAAUCCUAUUUUUAAAAAAAGUAAUGAAGAGGUAGCCAAGAUGUUCUUCAACAGAUGAAAGGAUAAAUAAAUGGUGGUACAUCCAGAUAAUGGAAUAUUAAUCAGUUAUAAAAAGGAAUGAGCUACUAAGCCAUGAAAAGACAUGGAGGAAACUUAAUCCAUGUUACUAAAUUAAAGAACCCAAUCUAAAAAGGCUGCAUACUGUGUAAUUCCAAGUAUAUGAUAUUCAGAAAAGGCAAAACUAUGGAGACAGUAAAAAGAUCAGUGGUUUCCAGGGCAGUGAAACUACUAAGUGUGAUACUAUAAUGGUGGAUACAUGUCAGUAAACAUUUGUCCAGAUUCAUAGACUGUACAACACCAAGAAUGAAUGCUGAUAUAAACUAUGGACUCUGGGUGAUACUGAUAUGUCAAUAUAGGCUCAUCAAUUGUAGCAAAAUGCCACUCUGGUGGGGAUGUUGAUGAUGCUAUGCACGUGUGGGGGCUGGAGAUAUAUGGUAAAUCUCUGUACCUUUCACUCAGUUUUUCUGUGAGCCUAAAACUGCUCUAAAAUAAACUCUAUUUUUAAAAAAGGUAAAGAAGACUAUAUAGAUGGUGUAGUAGUUGUUGUCUAUUGCACUUUCUUUGCCACUUCAUGUUGGGUGUCCCAAGUUAAUUUUGGAUAGUUACUGUAAAUAAAAUAUAAAAGUCUAGAGAAGGACAGGUAUCUAAGUCUAUCAUCUGUGCUAACGGGGAGGCCUGAGAGGUGUGGUGCCUGCUUUUCCUCCCUUGUUUCCUAACACAUUAGUGACUGGCAAUUUUGGACCUAGAAGAUGGUUUGUUUCCUGGACCUUUCAGCACCCCUCACUAGGAAACACACCUUUCUAAUCACUGAAGUAGUGCUCCAUAAAAAGGAACUUUCUGAAACAUAGGAGAGACACGGCGAUCUGAUGGCCGACAUGCUGAAGUGGGUUCCAGGGUAUUUUCAUAAAUCCCUUAGCAGUUCCCCACACUAGGCUUCCAUUCAGGCUAUGGGAUUUCAGUUUUUCAUGCUGGGUUUUUUUCUCAUUGACUUUUCUUAUGUAAUUACUGUAUCAUGGCCCUCAGGCCAUGACCAAACUCUAAGAAUAGUUUGUGUUUAUUUUUUUUUCCCAUCGAAUGUCACUUGCUUCUUCAUUUCUUAAUUUCUUCCUAAAGCGAAGGAGCCAAAAUACACCACAGAUCACAGAUGGACUAGACAACAAGCAUCUGCAUUGCAGGGGCCCAUGCAGAACCUGAUUUAUUUAUGUAAACAUUUUGCCACUUACUAUAUGAAGUUGUAGACUCCUCGACUAGUUACUGAUCUUAUACUUUCUAGUAGUUAACAUAGCCCAUUUUCAAAAAGUCCAACUGAACAUAAAAGUAAAAUGAUUUUUUUUUUUUGAGACAGAGUCCCACGCAGUCACCCAGGCUGGAGUGCAGUGGUGUGAUCUCAGCUCACUGCAAACUCUGCCUCCUGGGCUUGGGCCAUUCUCCUGCCUCAGCCUCUCGAGUAGCUGGGACUCUGGGCAUACGCCACCACAACUGGCUAAUUUUUGUAUGUUUUGUAGAGACGGGUUUUGCCAUGUUGCCCAGGCUGGUCUCAAAACUCCUGAGCUCAAGCAAUCCGUCCACCUUGGCCUC
This 3197-nucleotide long non-coding RNA is filed under the name Homo sapiens (human). RNAcentral describes it as "HSALNT0163448". The record is from RNAcentral. Lineage: Eukaryota; Metazoa; Chordata; Mammalia; Primates; Hominidae.